CCUACGAGAGGCAGCAGUGAGGAAUAUUUGUCAAUGGGCGCGAGCCUGAACCAGCCAAGUAGCGUGAAGGAUGACUGCCCUACGGGUUGUAAACUUCUUUUAUAAAGGAAUAAAGUGAGGCCCGUGUGCCUUUUUGUAUGUACUUUAUGAAUAAGGAUCGGCUAACUCCGUGCCAGCAGCCGCGGUAAUACGGAGGAUCCGAGCGUUAUCCGGAUUUAUUGGGUUUAAAGGGAGCGUAGAUGGGUUGUUAAGUCAGUUGUGAAAGUUUGCGGCUCAACCGUAAAAUUGCAAUUGAUACUGGCAGUCUUGAGUACAGUUGAGGGAGGCGGAAUUCGUGGUGUAGCGGUGAAAUGCUUAGAUAUCACGAAGAACGCCGAUUGCGAAGGCAGCUUACUAAACUGCCACUGACAUUGAUGCUCGAAAGUGUGGGUAUCAAACAGGAUUAGAUACCCCGGUAGUC
This 460-nucleotide ribosomal RNA is filed under the name uncultured bacterium. RNAcentral describes it as "partial 16S ribosomal RNA". It matches the Rfam family "Bacterial small subunit ribosomal RNA", at positions 338 to 795 of the family's 1533-position model. The record is from RNAcentral.